This 255-nucleotide ribosomal RNA is filed under the name uncultured bacterium. Its description in RNAcentral is "partial 16S ribosomal RNA". It matches the Rfam family "Bacterial small subunit ribosomal RNA", at positions 99 to 354 of the family's 1533-position model. The record is from RNAcentral.
CGGACGGGUGAGUAACGCGUGGGUAACCUGCCUCAUACAGGGGGAUAACAGUUAGAAAUGACUGCUAAUACCGCAUAAGCGCACGGGACUGCAUGGUCCAGUGUGAAAAACUCCGGUGGUAUGAGAUGGACCCGCGUCUGAUUAGCUAGUUGGUGGGGUAAGGGCUCACCAAGGCGACGAUCAGUAGCCGGCCUGAGAGGGUGACCGGCCACAUUGGGACUGAGACACGGCCCAAACUCCUACGGGAGGCAGCAG